Molecule: long non-coding RNA, 1729 nt
Filed under: Homo sapiens (human)
Lineage: Eukaryota; Metazoa; Chordata; Mammalia; Primates; Hominidae
Description: HSALNT0198451
Source: RNAcentral
CCCUGUCUCUUCCUGUAGACUGUGGUAUCAGAGCCCAAGGCAUGCACAGAGGCAAGUUUCCCAGGUAUGUGUUACUUUAUAACCACUUCAAAUAAGAGGCCAUUCCAGCUGACAGCAGCCUAAAAAGAAUGUGUUUCUGGUAAAUUAAAGGAGGGCCACUGAUCGGUGAAGGUAAACAGGUGAUGAAAUUCCUCAUUAGUACCUCAUUCGUAAUUCUCCUCUCCUGAAGUAGCUGACACAGAGUGAGGCCUGGAGUCGCGGCUGCUCAGAAGUGCGGGCUGUGGGGGUCACAGGGCGGCUUCAUCAUGGCCAGGGAGAGCGCCGCCUGCCUCGGUGUCAGCCACCGCGCCGAUAGCGGACACCAGGCAGGAUCUGCUCUUCCUCAAGAUGCAGCCACACAUUUUGAAGUCAUUGGGAGGUGAGCGCGAGCUCCUGGCCUCCGGGGUGCAGUCAUUUCCCACGUCGUCCGGCCCAGGAGGGCUUCAAGCUGUGCGCCCAGGGGUUGAAGGAAGAAGGUGCAGGACCCCCACAGUCUAACACCUGGAUGCCUGAGUUUCUCUCCCUACGGGGAAGUAAACUGCGAUUUGCCCAAGGAGCCACUCAGGACAGGUCCAGCGAAGGGGCUGUGGGGGCGCGGAGCCCAGUCAUUACUCCACUGCAGAAUGCUUGGCGGAGUCACCAGCCAAUCACCCAAACCGGUGUCACCUUGCCUGAGAAGGUUCAUUGAAAUGAAGCUCUUUCUAAUGGAGGCUUUCUCUACCAGGGCCUGGCAAAGCUCUGUUUCUUUUUCCUGUUCUUUCAAAACCCCACGUGGCUUUCCAAUAUCCUUUUAACAUUUUGGUCUUUGCAAGAGCACUUUUUGUCACAGACUGGCGUGGAUUCGACCCACGGAACGCGCAUCUGAAGGAGGCGUCAGCUCUUCAGGCGGUUUUGAAGUCCAGCACCCUGAACCCACACCCCGCUGCGGGAGCCCUGCUGCGCAGCACGCAUGCCUUCCCUGUUCAGAACGCCGUUUUGCAUCAGCGGGAGCGCCCAUAUGCAACAGGUCCAGAAUAUUUAGUCCCUCUUGCCAUCUGUACAUAGGCCUCUACUGGAAAUAUCUCACCUUCAGGCGCUCCCCCCUCGCCCCAACGUGCUGACCCGUCUGUGCUCUGGUAAUCAUAAGGUGUGUUGAAAUCUAUGUCAGGAUUUCCUCCAUUCGCAAACAGGCAGUCAGGCAGAGGUGGCGCUGUGAAGCUCGCAUUUAUCCCGCUGGAUUUUUAAAAGUAACCCUUUCCCCAGACGCAGCCUGUUUGUUAUAAAUCUUUUCAAGGAGCCAGCCACAUGACAGAGAAUGCCGACAUGAACCUACUGUUAUCUCAGAUUUAUCACAAAGGAAAAAGAUCCAUUUCAGGAUUAAUAAUAGGUGCUAAUGCAUUGAAUUAAGUACAGAUUUUGCUUUCUUAAGGAAUCUUCAAAGCUACUUUUCACAAAUCUAAGCACAAGGAAGAUUUAACACAUUCCUACUCCGUCCUGCAAGGUAGAAUAAAUCCAAGCAAUCCAUACAUGAUAAACGACUCUGUGGUAUAAGGGCAUGAGCACCACUGUUUCUGAUUUAUUCUUCUGCUUGGUAGCUUUCUCAACAGAUCUGAUGAACCUCUGUUCCUUGUGGCCUGUGUUUAUGCAUACACAAUUCCGUUUGGUGAUAUAGAAAACAUACUUCUUGAAAUAAAGGAAAAUUGCAGACUCC